This 713-nucleotide long non-coding RNA is filed under the name Canis lupus familiaris (dog). Its description in RNAcentral is "lncRNA (ENSCAFG00000045135.2)". The record is from RNAcentral. Lineage: Eukaryota; Metazoa; Chordata; Mammalia; Carnivora; Canidae.
CUUCAAUUAUAUGAAGUAUGAAUUAUGCCAUAUGUGAUCUAUUAUUUAUGACAUGUAUGUUAAACUUUAUAUAUAUGCAUAUCUUGGAGUAAAUAGUAUGAUUUUAGAUUUUUUUCUAGCAAAAUUAUCAUCUUUAGUUGGCAAAGCAUUCCUUGAAUUAUUAUGCCACAUUCUGAAAGCAUUACAACAUAUUUAAAGGAACAUUAUUUACUAGAUUCCAAGAAUUGGAUUCCAAGAAUAAAGACUGAAACAAAUAAAAAAAUGUAAAUGGUAGUUCAUGAACAUAAAGUCAAGGGACUCAGAUGAGUUUGGGUAUUGUUGACAGCUUUUUACUAUUCCUUUUUUUUUUUUUUUUUGCUUUUUACUAUUCUUACUUGGCUGUAGAUAGUUUUCUGAAAUGCUGAAAGAAAAGAAAGGCUUGGAUCAUGAAGAACUCAAAAGUAGGACUGAAAUUUUUUCUCCAAGAGGUCAAUUUCUUAGAUUUCUGCUAGGUUUAGAUGUGUGCAAGUUCACCCCCAUGUCAUCCUUUGAGGAAAGCAGGGAAGUUAUUAUUUUCCCAUCUUAGAGAGAUGAGGACCUGAAGCUCUGAGAUGGCGAGCGAUUUACUCAGUGUCCACACCAAGUAACUGGCAGAGUCAUGCCUUCGGACACUUUCCAUUUACUCGUCCAUUCUUUCCAUCUGUAAGUAGCGUACGUAACAUACUCUGUUUUGG